This 119-nucleotide ribosomal RNA is filed under the name Pteropus alecto (black flying fox). The record is from RNAcentral. Lineage: Eukaryota; Metazoa; Chordata; Mammalia; Chiroptera; Pteropodidae.
UUCUAUGGUCAUGCCACCCUGAGCAUGCCCGAUCUCGUCUGAUCUCAGAAGCUAAGAAGGGUCAGGCCUGGUUAGUACUUGGAUGGGAGACCACCUAGGAAUACCAGGUGCUGUAGGCG